UUAAGCGACUAAGCGUACACGGUGGAUGCCCUGGCAGUCAGAGGCGAUGAAGGACGUGCUAAUCUGCGAUAAGCGUCGGUAAGGUGAUAUGAACCGUUAUAACCGGCGAUUUCCGAAUGGGGAAACCCAGUGUGAUUCGUCACACUAUCAUUAACUGAAUCCAUAGGUUAAUGAGGCGAACCGGGGGAACUGAAACAUCUAAGUACCCCGAGGAAAAGAAAUCAACCGAGAUUCCCCCAGUAGCGGCGAGCGAACGGGGAGCAGCCCAGAGCCUGAAUCAGUGUGUGUGUUAGUGGAAGCGUCUGGAAAGGCGUGCGAUACAGGGUGACAGCCCCGUACACAAAAAUGCACAUACUGUGAGCUCGAUGAGUAGGGCGGGACACGUGGUAUCCUGUCUGAAUAUGGGGGGACCAUCCUCCAAGGCUAAAUACUCCUGACUGACCGAUAGUGAACCAGUACCGUGAGGGAAAGGCGAAAAGAACCCCGGCGAGGGGAGUGAAAAAGAACCUGAAACCGUGUACGUACAAGCAGUGGGAGCACGCUUAGGCGUGUGACUGCGUACCUUUUGUAUAAUGGGUCAGCGACUUAUAUUCUGUAGCAAGGUUAACCGAAUAGGGGAGCCGAAGGGAAACCGAGUCUUAACUGGGCGUUAAGUUGCAGGGUAUAGACCCGAAACCCGGUGAUCUAGCCAUGGGCAGGUUGAAGGUUGGGUAACACUAACUGGAGGACCGAACCGACUAAUGUUGAAAAAUUAGCGGAUGACUUGUGGCUGGGGGUGAAAGGCCAAUCAAACCGGGAGAUAGCUGGUUCUCCCCGAAAGCUAUUUAGGUAGCGCCUCGUGAAUUCAUCUCCGGGGGUAGAGCACUGUUUCGGCAAGGGGGUCAUCCCGACUUACCAACCCGAUGCAAACUGCGAAUACCGGAGAAUGUUAUCACGGGAGACACACGGCGGGUGCUAACGUCCGUCGUGAAGAGGGAAACAACCCAGACCGCCAGCUAAGGUCCCAAAGUCAUGGUUAAGUGGGAAACGAUGUGGGAAGGCCCAGACAGCCAGGAUGUUGGCUUAGAAGCAGCCAUCAUUUAAAGAAAGCGUAAUAGCUCACUGGUCGAGUCGGCCUGCGCGGAAGAUGUAACGGGGCUAAACCAUGCACCGAAGCUGCGGCAGCGACGCUUAUGCGUUGUUGGGUAGGGGAGCGUUCUGUAAGCCUGCGAAGGUGUGCUGUGAGGCAUGCUGGAGGUAUCAGAAGUGCGAAUGCUGACAUAAGUAACGAUAAAGCGGGUGAAAAGCCCGCUCGCCGGAAGACCAAGGGUUCCUGUCCAACGUUAAUCGGGGCAGGGUGAGUCGACCCCUAAGGCGAGGCCGAAAGGCGUAGUCGAUGGGAAACAGGUUAAUAUUCCUGUACUUGGUGUUACUGCGAAGGGGGGACGGAGAAGGCUAUGUUGGCCGGGCGACGGUUGUCCCGGUUUAAGCGUGUAGGCUGGUUUUCCAGGCAAAUCCGGAAAAUCAAGGCUGAGGCGUGAUGACGAGGCACUACGGUGCUGAAGCAACAAAUGCCCUGCUUCCAGGAAAAGCCUCUAAGCAUCAGGUAACAUCAAAUCGUACCCCAAACCGACACAGGUGGUCAGGUAGAGAAUACCAAGGCGCUUGAGAGAACUCGGGUGAAGGAACUAGGCAAAAUGGUGCCGUAACUUCGGGAGAAGGCACGCUGAUAUGUAGGUGAAGUCCCUCGCGGAUGGAGCUGAAAUCAGUCGAAGAUACCAGCUGGCUGCAACUGUUUAUUAAAAACACAGCACUGUGCAAACACGAAAGUGGACGUAUACGGUGUGACGCCUGCCCGGUGCCGGAAGGUUAAUUGAUGGGGUCAGCGCAAGCGAAGCUCUUGAUCGAAGCCCCGGUAAACGGCGGCCGUAACUAUAACGGUCCUAAGGUAGCGAAAUUCCUUGUCGGGUAAGUUCCGACCUGCACGAAUGGCGUAAUGAUGGCCAGGCUGUCUCCACCCGAGACUCAGUGAAAUUGAACUCGCUGUGAAGAUGCAGUGUACCCGCGGCAAGACGGAAAGACCCCGUGAACCUUUACUAUAGCUUGACACUGAACAUUGAGCCUUGAUGUGUAGGAUAGGUGGGAGGCUUGGAAGUGUGGACGCCAGUCUGCAUGGAGCCGACCUUGAAAUACCACCCUUUAAUGUUUGAUGUUCUAACGUUGACCCGUAAUCCGGGUUGCGGACAGUGUCUGGUGGGUAGUUUGACUGGGGCGGUCUCCUCCUAAAGAGUAACGGAGGAGCACGAAGGUUGGCUAAUCCUGGUCGGACAUCAGGAGGUUAGUGCAAUGGCAUAAGCCAGCUUGACUGCGAGCGUGACGGCGCGAGCAGGUGCGAAAGCAGGUCAUAGUGAUCCGGUGGUUCUGAAUGGAAGGGCCAUCGCUCAACGGAUAAAAGGUACUCCGGGGAUAACAGGCUGAUACCGCCCAAGAGUUCAUAUCGACGGCGGUGUUUGGCACCUCGAUGUCGGCUCAUCACAUCCUGGGGCUGAAGUAGGUCCCAAGGGUAUGGCUGUUCGCCAUUUAAAGUGGUACGCGAGCUGGGUUUAGAACGUCGUGAGACAGUUCGGUCCCUAUCUGCCGUGGGCGCUGGAGAACUGAGGGGGGCUGCUCCUAGUACGAGAGGACCGGAGUGGACGCAUCACUGGUGUUCGGGUUGUCAUGCCAAUGGCACUGCCCGGUAGCUAAAUGCGGAAGAGAUAAGUGCUGAAAGCAUCUAAGCACGAAACUUGCCCCGAGAUGAGUUCUCCCUGACUCCUUGAGAGUCCUGAAGGAACGUUGAAGACGACGACGUUGAUAGGCCGGGUGUGUAAGCGCAGCGAUGCGUUGAGCUAACCGGUACUAAUGAACCGUGAGGCUUAACCUU
Molecule: ribosomal RNA, 2902 nt
Filed under: Escherichia coli
Lineage: Bacteria; Pseudomonadati; Pseudomonadota; Gammaproteobacteria; Enterobacterales; Enterobacteriaceae
Description: bacterial LSU rRNA
Rfam family: Bacterial large subunit ribosomal RNA
Source: RNAcentral